Molecule: ribosomal RNA, 898 nt
Filed under: marine metagenome
Description: bacterial SSU rRNA
Rfam family: Archaeal small subunit ribosomal RNA
Source: RNAcentral
GGCUGCCGAAAAUACUGCAUAGCUAGGGAGUGGGAGAGGUAGACGGUACUCGGUAGGAAGGGGUAAAAUCCUUUGAUCUAUCGAUGACCACCUGUGGCGAAGGCGGUCUACCAGAACACGUUCGACGGUGAGGGAUGAAAGCUGGGGGAGCAAACCGGAUUAGAUACCCGGGUAGUCCCAGCUGUACACGAUGCAGACUCGAUGAUGCAUUGGCAUAUAGCCAGUGCAGUGUCGCAGGGACGCCGUUAAGUCUGCCGCCUGGGAAGUACGUACGCAAGUAUGAAACUUAAAGGAAUUGGCGGGGGAGCACCACAAGGGGUGAAGCCUGCGGUUCAAUUGGAGUCAACGCCAGAAAUCUUACCCGGAGAGACAGCAGAAUGAAGGUCAAGCUGAAGACUUUACCAGACAAGCUGAGAGGUGGUGCAUGGCCGUCGCCAGCUCGUGCCGUGAGAUGUCCUGUUAAGUCAGGUAACGAGCGAGAUCCUCGCCACUAGUUGCUAUCAUUAUUCUCAGGAAUAGUGGGGCGAAUUAGUGGGACUGCCGUUGUUAAAACGGAGGAAGGAAGGGGCUACGGCAGGUCAGUAUGCCCCGAAACUCUGGGGCCACACGCGGGCUGCAAUGGUAGCGACAAUGAGCUCCAAACUCGAAAGAGAGUGGCAAUCUCUAAACGCUACCACAGUUAUGACUGAGGGCUGUAACUCGCCCUCACGAAUAUGGAAUCCCUAGUAACCGCGUGUCAUUACCGCGCGGUGAAUACGUCCCUGCUCCUUGCACACACCGCCCGUCGUUUCAUCGAAGUUUGCUUUUAGCGAGGUGAUGUUUAAUUGGCAUUAUCGAACUUGAGGUAAGCGACGAGGGAAAAGUCGUAACAAGGUGUCCGUAGGGGAACCUGCGGACG